This 667-nucleotide long non-coding RNA is filed under the name Homo sapiens (human). Its description in RNAcentral is "non-protein coding LINC01040:2". The record is from RNAcentral. Lineage: Eukaryota; Metazoa; Chordata; Mammalia; Primates; Hominidae.
CAGAUCCUAAGCACUGGGUAUGAAGGCCAAGCAAAAAGCCUUGGUUCUGGGCAGGAUCUGCAGUCACAUUUCUAGAUUACCAGCUCAUCCAGGACUUGAGAGACCAAGACCCAGGAGAAAAGGAAACCUCAGAGAGGUCUUAAUUUUCAUCCAGACCACCUUCAGCCCACUUCUACUGACCACAAGCUUUUGGAUCCUGCCCUGGGUCUCUGAGCACAGCAGAAUACAGGAGAAUCCCUUUCUUCUGGAGACAUGAUGCCUUAUCUUCCCUCCCAAAGGACCAUCUCUGCUUCAAUUCCACUGCCAGCCACAUCCUUGCUACCACCCUCUUACUACUUCCUAUUCCAGCCAAACUGUAUUAGUUUUUAAUUUAUUUCACUCAGUUAUUCUUAUUACAGUUUAAAUAUAGAAAAUACAAAAUAUGGAUAUUUAUUUUAUUUCUUAUUAUACAAGCAUAUCCAUGUUAUCUUUGAUAUUGCUACUUGGUCCACACAGGUGGAUAAGGUACCAUAUUUACCAUCUGACCCUUUAUAGAAAAAGUUAGCUGACCCCUCGUCUAAACUAUGAAGACAGAAACAUCUGUUUUUUUCCUUAUUGUAGUCCCACAACAGGUGUAAAUGUGUCCUAAAUGAAUAUCAUUAAGUGAAUAAAUGAUGGAAAAAUUGUA